RNAcentral lists this ribosomal RNA (426 nucleotides) under uncultured bacterium. Its description in RNAcentral is "partial 16S ribosomal RNA". It matches the Rfam family "Bacterial small subunit ribosomal RNA", at positions 354 to 796 of the family's 1533-position model. The record is from RNAcentral.
GUGAGGAAUUUUCCGCAAUGGGCGAAAGCCUGACGGAGCAAUGCCGCGUGAAGGAUGAAGGCCUAUGGGUUGUAAACUUCUUUUCUCAGAAAAGAAUUAUGACGGUAUCUGAGGAAUAAGCAUCGGCUAACUCUGUGCCAGCAGCCGCGGUAAGACAGAGGAUGCAAGCGUUAUCCGGAAUGAUUGGGCGUAAAGCGUCUGUAGGUUGUUUAAAAAGUAUUCUGUCAAAGAUUAGGGCUUAACCCUAGAUAGGCAGAAUAAACUUUUAAGCUAGAGUUUGGUAGAGGCAGAGGGAAUUCCCGGUGGAGCGGUGAAAUGCGUAGAGAUCGGGAGGAACACCAAAGGCGAAGGCACUCUGCUGGGCCAAUACUAACACUGAGAGACGAAAGCGAGGGGAGCAAAUGGGAUUAGAAACCCCGGUAGUCC